AUUGAACGCUGGCGGCAUGCCUUACACAUGCAAGUCGAACGGCAGCGGACCUUCGGGUGCCGGCGAGUGGCGAACGGGUGAGUAAUAUAUCGGAACGUACCUUUCAGUGGGGGAUAACGUAGCGAAAGUUACGCUAAUACCGCAUAUUCUGUGAGCAGGAAAGCAGGGGAUCGCAGGACCUUGCGCUGAUUGAGCGGCCGAUAUCAGAUUAGCUAGUUGGUGAGGUAAAGGACUCACCAAGGCGACGAUCUGUAGCGGGUCUGAGAGGAUGAUCCGCCACACUGGAACUGAGACACGGUCCAGACUCCUACGGGAGGCAGCAGUCGAGAGGCUUCGGCAAUGGGGGAAACCCUGACCGAGCGACGCCGCGUGGGCGAUGAAGGUUGUAAGAUCGUAAAGCCCUGUCAGGAGGGAAGAACUGCCAAUGGGCAAACAGGCCAUUGGUUUGACGGUACCUCCAGAGGAAGCUCCGGCUAACUCCGUGCCAG
RNAcentral lists this ribosomal RNA (488 nucleotides) under uncultured bacterium. Its description in RNAcentral is "bacterial SSU rRNA". It matches the Rfam family "Bacterial small subunit ribosomal RNA", at positions 30 to 511 of the family's 1533-position model. The record is from RNAcentral.